AUCUACCAAAUCAUACCCUCUGCUUCUCUACUCUCUCUCGCUCACUCUCUUCUCGACGGCGCGCACCUCCAUCGUUAGGGUUCCUCUUCAUCGCUCAUACCUCCAUCGUUAGGGUUCCUCACCACCGUGCUUCAAUCAAUCAAACCACACCUUCCUUCUGCUGCUUCGUCUUCACCAUCGCUUCCAUCACUCAAGCUCGUGUGGGUUCUGCUUCUUCUUCACCGAGCCCGUCCGCUCCAGCGCGACUGCAUCCCACGGCGCGCCGCACCUUCCGCUGCCAUUAUCAAGCUUCAAACUGACAGUAUUGGGUUUGAUUCCUAUUCGGUUAAUGCAGUACGGGGACACUUCCCUUUGGAAGCAGAGGCAUAAUGACCAUGGGAUUGUCUUUCAUAUAAGGUGCUGGAUAUUCAUUAAUUCACUGCUGAAAUUGACUCCAAGUAACUUCCCAAAGGUGAAUGGAGGAAAGAAAUAGAAUCUGUUGUCGGCAAGUAAUAUAAGAAGGAAAGAUAGAGAGAGGGCAAGUGAUAUAAAGGUUUUUUGGUGGAUGAGAGUAUGAAUGGGUUGCAAACUCUUUUACAUGGUUUUUAAAUUUCUCCCGCAAAUGGUCACUUGUUGAUGCUCUUAAGUCAAAUACUUUGAUCUUUUGCCUAAGAAUAUGGACAUCCGUCAAAUUCGCGGUUGGAUGUAUAAUAGAACCAUACCUAGCCAAAGGGAGCAUACAAGUGCAUUUUUGAAUGGACUAAAUGAAUUGGAGUGAUGUGGCGUGAUGUGGCUGGCAUGAAAAAGGGUAGAAUAUAUGGGUUGGGAUUGGAGUCCACUGUUAUCAAUAAACAAUAUCAUGGCUCAUGUUCUUCAUCAUCUGAAUGGGUAAGAAGAUCAGAAUUUGAUCAAUUGAGAAACACUAUUAUGGAGGAGACUCAAAGAAUGGUAAAACAAAUGAUGGAAGAAAGGAUGCAACAACCACCAAUGCCAACCCCAAAUCAAGAGGAGUUAGAAACUGAUGAGUCAGAGAAUGAGGAGGAUCUUGGUGCUUUUCCAUGAAAACUUUGUCAAGCUUUGUUUCUAUAUUUAAUGUAAUAGACUAUGCUUAAUGUAAUAGUAAUCUACUAGACUAGUUUAAGUAGUUCAUGGUAUACUUUUUGUGAUGAUUCAGUGAUGAAUUUAUGUGGAUAUGUUAAGAUUGUGUGUUUUGUGAUGAUUCAAUGAUGAUUAUGGUUAUAUUCA
Lotus japonicus is the source of this 1224-nucleotide long non-coding RNA. RefSeq lists it as uncharacterized. Lineage: Eukaryota; Viridiplantae; Streptophyta; Magnoliopsida; Fabales; Fabaceae. The record is from RefSeq and is a predicted model, not a curated record. The transcript has 5 exons.